AUCCAAUUGAUCAGUCCCAAAUAGGAGAAAAUGUGCGUCCUGGAU
RNAcentral lists this non-coding RNA (45 nucleotides) under Schistosoma bovis. The record is from RNAcentral. RNAcentral also lists the same sequence under 1 other name. Lineage: Eukaryota; Metazoa; Platyhelminthes; Trematoda; Strigeidida; Schistosomatidae.